Molecule: ribosomal RNA, 478 nt
Filed under: uncultured Desulfobulbus sp.
Lineage: Bacteria; Pseudomonadati; Thermodesulfobacteriota; Desulfobulbia; Desulfobulbales; Desulfobulbaceae
Description: bacterial SSU rRNA
Rfam family: Bacterial small subunit ribosomal RNA
Source: RNAcentral
AAUUGACGGGGCCGCACAAGCGGUGGAGUAUGUGGUUUAAUUCGAUGCAACGCGAAGAACCUUACCUGGUCUUGACAUCCCGGAGACCCUUAGGAAACUAGGGGGUGCUUCCAUCUGGAAGAAUCUGGAGACAGGUGCUGCAUGGCUGUCGUCAGCUCGUGUCGUGAGAUGUUGGGUUAAGUCCCGCAACGAGCGCAACCCUCGCCUUUAGUUGCCAGCAGUUCGGCUGGGCACUCUAAAGGGACUGCCGGUGUUAAACCGGAGGAAGGUGGGGAUGACGUCAAGUCCUCAUGGCCUUUAUGACCAGGGCUACACACGUACUACAAUGGCCGAUACAAAGGGCAGCGACACUGCGAGGUGAAGCCAAUCCCGUAAAAUCGGUCUCAGUCCGGAUUGGAGUCUGCAACUCGACUCCAUGAAGUUGGAAUCGCUAGUAAUCGUGGAUCAGCAUGCCACGGUGAAUACGUUCCCGGGCCUU